ACUCCUACGGGAGGCAGCAGUGGGGAAUAUUGCACAAUGGGCGAAAGCCUGAUGCAGCAACGCCGCGUGCGGGAAGAAGGCCCUAGGGUUGUAAACCGCUUUCAGCAGGGAAGAAAAUGACGGUACCUGCAGAAGAAGGUGCGGCCAACUACGUGCCAGCAGCCGCGGUGACACGUAGGCACCAAGCGUUGUCCGGAUUUAUUGGGCGUAAAGAGCUCGUAGGCGGUUCAGUAAGUCGGGUGUGAAAACUCUGGGCUCAACCCAGAGACGCCACCCGAUACUGCUGUGACUUGAGUACGGUAGGGGAGCGGGGAAUUCCUGGUGUAGCGGUGAAAUGCGCAGAUAUCAGGAGGAACACCAGUGGCGAAGGCGCCGCUCUGGGCCGAAACUGACGCUGAGGAGCGAAAGCGUGGGUAGCAAACAGGAUUAGAUACCCUGGUAGGCGUAG
RNAcentral lists this ribosomal RNA (448 nucleotides) under uncultured bacterium. Its description in RNAcentral is "bacterial SSU rRNA". It matches the Rfam family "Bacterial small subunit ribosomal RNA", at positions 335 to 799 of the family's 1533-position model. The record is from RNAcentral.